UAGUGUAGUGGUUAGCACUCUGGACUUUGAAUCCAGCGACUCGGGUUCAAAUCCCGA
RNAcentral lists this transfer RNA (57 nucleotides) under Perkinsus chesapeaki. Its description in RNAcentral is "tRNA-Gln". It matches the Rfam family "tRNA", at positions 8 to 63 of the family's 71-position model. Rfam says of the family: Transfer RNA (tRNA) molecules are approximately 80 nucleotides in length. Their secondary structure includes four short double-helical elements and three loops (D, anti-codon, and T loops). Lineage: Eukaryota; Perkinsozoa; Perkinsida; Perkinsidae. The record is from RNAcentral.